This 72-nucleotide transfer RNA is filed under the name Bos taurus (domestic cattle). It matches the Rfam family "tRNA". From Rfam's summary of the family: Transfer RNA (tRNA) molecules are approximately 80 nucleotides in length. Their secondary structure includes four short double-helical elements and three loops (D, anti-codon, and T loops). Lineage: Eukaryota; Metazoa; Chordata; Mammalia; Artiodactyla; Bovidae. The record is from Rfam by way of RNAcentral. RNAcentral also lists the same sequence under 4 other names.
UCCUUGGUGGCUCAGUCAGUAAAGAAUCUGCCUGUAAUGCAGGAGACCUGGGUUCGAUCCCUGGGUCAGGAA